CGUAACAAGGUUUCCGUAGGUGAACCUGCGGAAGGAUCAUUG
Molecule: non-coding RNA, 42 nt
Organism: Hordeum vulgare subsp. vulgare (domesticated barley)
Lineage: Eukaryota; Viridiplantae; Streptophyta; Magnoliopsida; Poales; Poaceae
Source: Rfam